Long non-coding RNA from Camelus dromedarius (Arabian camel), 1903 nucleotides. RefSeq lists it as uncharacterized. NCBI's taxonomy places the organism in Eukaryota, Metazoa, Chordata, Mammalia, Artiodactyla, Camelidae. The record is from RefSeq and is a predicted model, not a curated record. The transcript is spliced from 4 exons.
CGGGUAGCGGGCUCCGAAAGUGUGCAGCUGCCCGGGACCAUGGCGGUGCUUGCUGCUGGGGAUGGCGGUUUGCUCGGCCGGGCGACUAGUUCUGGCCUGGUCAGUCGGCGGCCGACAUCCUGUCUGGGGCGGCGUCCCACAGACGGUAAACGUACCUUCUGUGUGACUUCAACCCUCCAGAGGGCUUCAACCUCCGUAGGAACGUCUGCAUCCACAUUGCCUUCCUCCUGAAGACCCUGCUGAAGAUGGAGGAGCCGGUACUGGUGCUAUUCCCUUGGGGUCACCUCUACCACUGGCAGAGCCCCGACAUCAAUCAGGUCUGGAUUCCCUGGUCCAACUCCUUUGACCUCCCAAGUCUCAACAGAAACAUCCCUGACAUUGAGUACGAGCAGUUCAUUGCAGGUUCACUUGGUGAUAAUAAUCGUAACCAAAGCAACAGCAAACCCUUACAGAACUCUGUCCUGCUGUUCCAGGAACGCUGUGUUCAUGACAACCCAAUGAGUUGGCACCACUAUGAGUUCCACUUUAAAGCAGUGCCUGCCACCCUGGCCUCCCUGCUCAUCUGCCUCAAUCAGGAGCACCUGGACCACCAGCUCUGUAUUGCCUCACCUCCUACCAUCAAGACGUCAAAGUUCAUUCUCCCUCCACCACCCAGUAUGGUCAUUGUAGGGUCUUCUCCAUCAGCCUGAGCCAGCCACCCCCCAUUCACCCUACCCCCGGGCUCAUGCCCGGGCGUGUCUCCACCCCAGGUCCAGCCUCUCUCCUUUAAGUGCCCACCUCUAGCCGUCCAGCUGCUUCUCCACCAGCCUCCCUGUCCCUCCUUCACCUUCACUGGGGCAUCAUGCGCUGACUACUCUGCUUUCCUGCCUGUCCACGUUCCUCUUACUUCCACUUCCCCACCUUCCAGCUCUGCAUCCACAGUCAGCACUCUCUUUAUGACAGACAAAACCCCCUUGAGCCUUGACCUUUUCAGUUCCUCACCAGGCCGACUUCCAUCUCGGUUCACCCAGCUCUACUUGUUCUGAGCCUGCAGGCAGCAGGCUCUCCCAGCACAGAUUUCCAAGACUACAAAUCAAUGACCACCAUGUUGCCACUGCCAGGCAAUCCUCCAGGAUUUCUCUAGUGAGCACAUUUCCCCACUUAUCACUCAGUGGUAUCAACAUUCUCUGCUCUCUGCACACCUCUAACCUUCCCUCUGUCUCUUCCCUGACUCCCAGCAGAUGGCCUUGCCUCCUGCUUCAGAGAGAAUGACAUGUCACUGGAAAGGAACUUGCUCACCUGCAGCAAAUCUGCUCACCUCACCUUUUAUUUGUCCCUCUCCCACCUGGACUCUAGCUGUAGUUGUUCUUAAUUCAGUGAGUUUAGUUGACAUAUAUAUACACAGUUAAAAGCAUAGCACACUAUCGGCUACCUUCUAGGGCUUACUUUUUCAAUUUAACAUGGAGUGUGUGAUUCAUCCACUUCAUUGCAUGUACCUGCAGUUCAUUUGUUUUAACUGAUCUUAAAUGUUGUGUGUGUGAAUGUAACACAAGGCAAGGGUAAGCCAGGAUUCAGGAUGCUGGUUACUUCCUGUGAGAAGAGGCCAAGAGCAGGACAGGGAAAGAGGACACAGUAUGUCACUGUCAAUAUUCCUGUUAUGAUGCUGGGUGAUAGGUUCAUAACUGUGUCUUAUAAUAUUAAUUUUAAUACAUAAAUACCUCUGACAGGCACCUAAGAUGAGAAUGUGUCAUGAACCAAGACAUACAAUGGGUAAUAUUACAUCAUUAUUAUUAUGUAAUCUUGUUAUAUUAUAUAUUAAUCAUAAUCUUACAUUAUUUGUUAUGGGUUAUAUAUUAUAUAGAUGCAUGAAUUUAUAUUAUGUAUAUAAACACCUACAUAUGUAUUAUAUACUAUCUGCUAAUAA